UGAGGAGGUGGAGGAGAUAUGAGGAGAUAUGAGGAGGUUGGAGGAGAUAUGAGGAGGUUGAGGAGGUUGAGGAGGUGGAGGAGAUAUGAGGAGAUAUGAGGAGGUUGAGGAGAUAUGAGGAGGUGGAGGAUAUAUGAGGAGAUAUGAAUGGGUUGAGGAGAUAUGAGGAGGUUGAGGAGAUAUGAGGAGGUUGAGGAGGUUGAGGAGAUAUGAGGAGGUUGAGGAGAUAUGAGGAGAUAUGAGGAGGUGUUGAUUUGCUUAAACAAGCUCUUUUCUGCUGAGUCUUCGCCUCCUGCUUCUGUCACACCUCCUAAAACUCUCCGUCUGAACGAACGACGAUGCCAGCGGUUCUCCGACAGCCAGCCAGCGAAUGAAGCAGUUUUCUGUCUGUCUGCUGCCUCGAUGAAUAUUUAAAACCUCCGACUCACACAGGAGUUUUACUGUUGAGGAGAAACUGAAGGUGCAGACUCUCUUUAUUGCAGCUGAACCCAUCUGAGGAUUCCUCCAUUAAUCCAUAAACAUCAGUUCAUUUAAACCUUCAGUGGAAGACGGGACGGUUUGUCCUCACUGGCUGUCACCUUACGUUCACUCCUUCAUCCUCUCAUUGUGCCGCUCACGUUAAAUAACUCGUCUGCUGGCUCCGAGGACGAAGAGGGUUCGGGGUGGGUCGGAUACAGAAAGGAUCAUUCGUGCUUUAUUCUGAAAGCGGAAGGUCUCAGUUGGUUUGUUGGGAUUUGGAGGGUCUUUUAAUCUAUUGUUUUUUAUUUGGUACAACAGAGUAUUAGGGCCAGAAAUAUGAGGGGGGAAGAUUUAAAAAACAGAAACAUUUUGAGAGAAUAAAGUCAAAAGUCUGCCUGUGUUGUAUCGGAGCCUCUCUGUGGUUUGUUUUUAUCUGCAAGGUAAAAUCACUGGUUUUGUGAAUGGAGUCUGGUUGUAGCGCCUACUGUUGGAGCUAUAGUGCGACACCUAGUGGCUCAUUAUUUACUGUUGGGACAUUUAACCUACAGCGAUACAUCAUUUUCUAUAAGUUCGUCAUAUGUUUAAAUAACCUGUGUACGAAUCAGAGCUAAAGUAGCAUUUAGCAGCUACACACACAGCUAGCAUAGCAACAUAAACACUUAUAUUUGAGGCUGAAUGAGGCGUUCACUGCCCUCUGGGUGGAGGAAUCAUUUGACCUCCUCUCUCUGUGACUGAUGCCGUCGCCUCCCUGCCUGACAGCCUGUUUUGUCUGCGGUGUGAGUGACCAAGAAGAGAGGCCCUCCGAGGGGCCCCGGGGCCAGCGGGAGGUCAGUCUUUAUCAGGCAGAUAACCUCUCACCUGUCACAGGACCGUCCACACGGCCAGGCGUCCAGCGUGAUCAUUGACCUCCGACCUCUGCGGGAUAAACAGAGGAGGGUCUCU
Molecule: long non-coding RNA, 1401 nt
Organism: Dicentrarchus labrax (European seabass)
Lineage: Eukaryota; Metazoa; Chordata; Actinopteri; Moronidae
Exons: 3
Source: RefSeq, a predicted model, not a curated record